CUACAGGCUUAACACAUGCAAGUCGAGGGGCAGCAUGGUCUUAGCUUGCUAAGGCCGAUGGCGACCGGCGCACGGGUGAGUAACACGUAUCCAACCUGCCGUCUACUCUUGGACAGCCUUCUGAAAGGAAGAUUAAUACAAGAUGGCAUCAUGAGUCCGCAUGUUCACAUGAUUAAAGGUAUUCCGGUAGACGAUGGGGAUGCGUUCCAUUAGAUAGUAGGCGGGGUAACGGCCCACCUAGUCUUCGAUGGAUAGGGGUUCUGAGAGGAAGGUCCCCCACAUUGGAACUGAGACACGGUCCAAACUCCUACGGGAGGCAGCAGUGAAGAAUAUUGGUCAAUGGGCGAGAGCCUGAACCAGCCAAGUAGCGUGAAGGAUGACUGCCCUAUGGGUUGUAAACUUCUUUUAUAAAGGAAUAAAGUCGGGUAUGGAUACCCGUUUGCAUGUACUUUAUGAAUAAGGAUCGGCUAACUCCGUGCCAGCAGCCGCGGUAAUACGGAGGAUCCGAGCGUUAUCCGGAUUUAUUGGGUUUAAAGGGAGCGUAGAUGGAUGUUUAAGUCAGUUGUGAAAGUUUGCGGCUCAACCGUAAAAUUGCAGUUGAUACUGGAUAUCUUGAGUGCAGUUGAGGCAGGCGGAAUUCGUGGUGUAGCGGUGAAAUGCUUAGAUAUCACGAAGAACUCCGAUUGCGAAGGCAGCCUGCUAAGCUGCAACUGACAUUGAGGCUCGAAAGUGUGGGUAUCAAACAGGAUUAGAUACCCUGGUAGUCCACACGGUAAACGAUGAAUACUCGCUGUUUGCGAUAUACUGCAAGCGGCCAAGCGAAAGCGUUAAGUAUUCCACCUGGGGAGUACGCCGGCAACGGUGAAACUCAAAGGAAUUGACGGGGGCCCGCACAAGCGGAGGAACAUGUGGUUUAAUUCGAUGAUACGCGAGGAACCUUACCCGGGCUUAAAUUGCAGAUGAAUUACGGUGAAAGCCGUAAGCCGCAAGGCAUCUGUGAAGGUGCUGUAUGGUUGUCGUCAGCUCGUGCCGUGAGGUGUCGGCUUAAGUGCCAUAACGAGCGCAACCCUUGUUGUCAGUUACUAACAGGUUCCGCUGAGGACUCUGACAAGACUGCCAUCGUAAGAUGUGAGGAAGGUGGGGAUGACGUCAAAUCAGCACGGCCCUUACGUCCGGGGCUACACACGUGUUACAAUGGGGGGUACAGAGGGCCGCUACCACGCGAGUGGAUGCCAAUCCCCAAAACCUCUCUCAGUUCGGACUGGAGUCUGCAACCCGACUCCACGAAGCUGGAUUCGCUAGUAAUCGCGCAUCAGCCACGGCGCGGUGAAUACGUUCCCGGGCCUUGUACACACCGCCCGUCAAGCCAUGGGAGCCGGGGGUACCUGAAGUGCGUAACCGCGAGGAGCGCCCUAGGGUAAAACUGGUGACUGG
RNAcentral lists this ribosomal RNA (1434 nucleotides) under uncultured bacterium. RNAcentral describes it as "bacterial SSU rRNA". It matches the Rfam family "Bacterial small subunit ribosomal RNA". The record is from RNAcentral.